GGACCGGAGUGGACGCAUCACUGGUGUUCGGGUUGUCAUGCCAAUGGCAUUGCCCGGUAGCUAAAUGCGGAAGAGAUAAGUGCUGAAAGCAUCUAAGCACGAAACUUGCCCCGAGAUGAGUUCUCCCUGACCCUUUAAGGGUCCUGAAGGAACGUUGAAGACGACGACGUUGAUAGGUCGGGUGUGUAAGCGUAGCGAUACGUUGAGCUAACCGAUACUAAUGAACCGUGAGGCUUAACCUUACAACGCCGAAG
This 254-nucleotide ribosomal RNA is filed under the name Citrobacter braakii. Its description in RNAcentral is "partial 23S ribosomal RNA". It matches the Rfam family "Bacterial large subunit ribosomal RNA", at positions 2689 to 2925 of the family's 2925-position model. Lineage: Bacteria; Pseudomonadati; Pseudomonadota; Gammaproteobacteria; Enterobacterales; Enterobacteriaceae. The record is from RNAcentral.